UACAGAGGGUGCAAGCGUUGUUCGGAAUUACUGGGCGUAAAGCGCGUGUAGGCGGUUUCGUAAGUCGGUCGUGAAAUCCCUAGGCUUAACCUAGGAACUGCGAUCGAAACUGUGAGACUAGAGUGUCGGAGGGGAUGGCGGAAUUCCCGGUGUAGAGGUGAAAUUCGUAGAUAUCGGGAGGAACACCUGUGGCGAAGGCGGCCAUCUGGAAGACAACUGACGCUGAGACGCGAAAGCGUGGGGAGCAAACAGG
This 253-nucleotide ribosomal RNA is filed under the name uncultured bacterium. Its description in RNAcentral is "partial 16S ribosomal RNA". It matches the Rfam family "Bacterial small subunit ribosomal RNA", at positions 524 to 776 of the family's 1533-position model. The record is from RNAcentral.